This 253-nucleotide ribosomal RNA is filed under the name uncultured bacterium. RNAcentral's name for it is "partial 16S ribosomal RNA". It matches the Rfam family "Bacterial small subunit ribosomal RNA", at positions 524 to 776 of the family's 1533-position model. The record is from RNAcentral.
UACGAAGGGGGCUAGCGUUGCUCGGAAUCACUGGGCGUAAAGGGUGCGUAGGCGGGUCUUUAAGUCAGGGGUGAAAACCUGGAGCUCAACUCCAGAACUGCCUUUGAUACUGAGGAUCUUGAGUUCGGGAGAGGUGAGUGGAACUGCGAGUGUAGAGGUGAAAUUCGUAGAUAUUCGCAAGAACACCAGUGGCGAAGGCGGCUCACUGGCCCGAUACUGACGCUGAGGCACGAAAGCGUGGGGAGCAAACAGG